This 426-nucleotide ribosomal RNA is filed under the name uncultured Actinomycetes bacterium. RNAcentral's name for it is "bacterial SSU rRNA". It matches the Rfam family "Bacterial small subunit ribosomal RNA", at positions 233 to 671 of the family's 1533-position model. The record is from RNAcentral. Lineage: Bacteria; Bacillati; Actinomycetota; Actinomycetes.
GCGGCCUAUCAGCUUGUUGGUGAGGUAAUGGCUCACCAAGGCGACGGCGGGUAGCCGGCCUGAGAGGGCGACCGGCCACACUGGGACUGAGACACGGCCCAGACUCCUACGGGAGGCAGCAGUGGGGAAUAUUGGGCAAUGGAGGGAACUCUGACCCAGCGACGCCGCGUGCGGGAUGAAGGCCUUCGGGUUGUAAACCGCUUUCAGCAAGGAAGAAGCGAAAGUGACGGUACUUGCAGAAGAAGCACCGGCUAACUAUGUGCCAGCAGCCGCGGUAAUACAUAGGGUGCAAGCGUUGUCCGGAAUUAUUGGGCGUAAAGAGCUCGUAGGUGGUUCGUCACGUCGGAUGUGAAAAUCUGGGGCUUAACCCCAGACCUGCAUUCGAUACGGGCGAGCUAGAGUGUGGUAGGGGAGACUGGAAUUCCU